This 465-nucleotide ribosomal RNA is filed under the name uncultured bacterium. Its description in RNAcentral is "partial 16S ribosomal RNA". It matches the Rfam family "Bacterial small subunit ribosomal RNA", at positions 28 to 507 of the family's 1533-position model. The record is from RNAcentral.
GACGAACGCUGGCGGCGUGCUUAACACAUGCAAGUCGAACGGAAAGGCCCUGCUUGCGGGGUACUCGAGUGGCGAACGGGUGAGUAACACGUGGGUGUUCUGCCCUCCACUUCUGGAUAAGCCUGCAAAACUGGGUCUAAUACCGCGUAGAGGCCAUUUUUAUUCUUGUGGUUGGAAAGAUUUUUCGGUGUAGGAUGAGCUCGCGGCCUGUCUGCUUGUUGGUGGGGUAAUGGCCUACCAAGGCGGCGUCGGGUAGCCGGCCUGGGGGGGUGGACGGCCAAAUUGGGACCGGGGUAAGGCCCAGAACCCGUAGGGGGGCAGGAGGGGGGAAUAUUGCACAAAGGGGGCAAGCCGGAUGCAGCGAAGCCGCGGGGGGGAAGACGGGCUUCGGGUUGGAAAACCCUUUCGCUAGGGAAGAAGCUUUUUGUGACGGUACCUAGAUAAGAAGCACCGGCUAACUACGUG